RNAcentral lists this ribosomal RNA (468 nucleotides) under uncultured bacterium. RNAcentral's name for it is "partial 16S ribosomal RNA". It matches the Rfam family "Bacterial small subunit ribosomal RNA", at positions 28 to 507 of the family's 1533-position model. The record is from RNAcentral.
GACGAACGCUGGCGGCGUGCUUAACACAUGCAAGUCGAACGGAAAGGCCCUGCUUUUGUGGGGUGCUCGAGUGGCGAACGGGUGAGUAACACGUGAGUAACCUGCCCUUGACUUUGGGAUAACUUCAGGAAACUGGGGCUAAUACCGGAUAGGAGCUCCUGCUGCAUGGUGGGGGUUGGAAAGUUUCGGCGGUUGGGGAUGGACUCGCGGCUUAUCAGCUUGUUGGUGGGGUAGUGGCUUACCAAGGCUUUGACGGGUAGCCGGCCUGAGAGGGUGACCGGCCACAUUGGGACUGAGAUACGGCACAGAUUCCUACGGGAGGCAGCAGUGGGGAAUAUUGCACAAUGGGCGGAAGCCUGAUGCAGCAACGCCGCGUGCGGGAUGACGGCCUUCGGGUUGUAAACCGCUUUCGCCUGUGACGAAGCGUGAGUGACGGUAAUGGGUAAAGAAGCACCGGCUAACUACGUG